RNAcentral lists this ribosomal RNA (442 nucleotides) under uncultured eukaryote. Its description in RNAcentral is "eukaryotic LSU rRNA". It matches the Rfam family "Eukaryotic large subunit ribosomal RNA", at positions 1213 to 1638 of the family's 3401-position model. The record is from RNAcentral.
CGAAAAGGGCGUCGAUCCGUCGCGACAGCGGGACGGUGGUCAUGGAAGUCGAAAUCCGCUAAGAAGCGUGUAAAAACGUACCCGCCCAACGGAUCGGCCCCGAAAAUUGAUGGCGCUCGAACGCAACCCUCGAACCCCGCCGACGGAGGCUAGGGGAGGCCCCGUCGAGUAGGCGGACGCGCGGGUCGCUUCGACGCUCCCGCGCGAGCGGGGGCGGAGCGGCCCGUGGUGCAGAUCUUGGUGGUAGUAGCGAUCACCCAGGCGAGAACCCUGAGGGCCGAAGUGGAGAAGGGUUUCUCGAGAACGGCACUCGCUCGAGAGUUAGUCGAUCCUAAGCUGCCGGCGGCAGCCACGAAACGGUCGAUCGGGCGCGAGCCCGGCAGCCACGACCGGGCAGCGAAAGGGAAUUGGGAACCUCCUUCCCAAACCCGGAACCGGAACG